Molecule: non-coding RNA, 73 nt
Organism: Podarcis lilfordi (Lilford's wall lizard)
Lineage: Eukaryota; Metazoa; Chordata; Lepidosauria; Squamata; Lacertidae
Source: the annotation of a GenBank genome assembly
UGGAAACCUCAGUCAGUUGAGCACGAGACUCUUAAUCUCAGGACUGUGGGUUCAAGCCCCACAUUGGGCAAAA